CUUGACCGAGCCGAGCCACAGCGGCCGUUCGGGGUCUCGGUCCUGCCCGUAGGUGGCGAGCAGGGCCCGCGCCUC
This 75-nucleotide antisense RNA is filed under the name Streptomyces sp. DI166. Its description in RNAcentral is "ASpks TB sRNA". It matches the Rfam family "ASpks TB sRNA". Lineage: Bacteria; Bacillati; Actinomycetota; Actinomycetes; Kitasatosporales; Streptomycetaceae. The record is from Rfam by way of RNAcentral.